Molecule: ribosomal RNA, 497 nt
Filed under: uncultured bacterium
Lineage: Bacteria
Description: partial 16S ribosomal RNA
Rfam family: Bacterial small subunit ribosomal RNA
Source: RNAcentral
GAUGAACGCUGGCGGCGUGCCUAAUACAUGCAAGUCGAGCGAACGGACGAUAAGCUUGCUUCUCUGAUGUUAGCGGCGGACGGGUGAGUAACACGUGGAUAACCUACCUAUAAGACUGGGAUAACUUCGGGAAACCGGAUCUACUACCGGAUAAUAUUUUGAACCGCAUGGUUCAAAAGUGAAAGACGGUCUUGCUGUCACUUAUAGAUGGAUCCGCGCUGCAUUAGCUAGUUGGUAAGGUAACGGCUUACCAAGGCAACGAUGCAUAGCCGACCUGAGAGGGUGAUCAGCCACACUGGAACUGAGACACGGUCCAGACUCCUACGGGAGGCAGCAGUAGGGAAUAUUCCGCAAUGGGCGAAAGCCUGACGGAGCAACGCCGCGUGAGUGAUGAAGGUCUUCGGAUCGUAAAACUCUGUUAUUAGGGAAGAACAUAUGUGUAAGUAACUGUGCACAUCUUGACGGUACCUAAUCAGAAAGCCACGGCUAACUACGUG